CGUCGCGGAGCCGGGCCGGGCCGUGCGGGUGCCGCUGUGUUUACACCGCCACAGCCGCCGCCGCCGCCGCCACAGCCACAGCCGCCGCCGCCGGGGCUCGGCGCUCCGCGGGCGCUCAGCAGCCAGUCGCCAUUUCCCGCCUACCGACCUGCUGCACCGCACCGAGGGACCCGGAUGGCAGCGGGGCCGCCGCGCACGCGCAGCCACGGCCGGGGGAGGAGGAGGAGGGGGCCGCCGGGGGCCGGCAGCGCCGGGCAGGCCGGGAAGGAGGGGAGCGGGCGGUGGGGACGGGGAUGGGGACGGGACCGGCUNNNNNNNNNNNNNNNNNNNNNNNNNNNNNNNNNNNNNNNNNNNNNNNNNNNNNNNNNNNNNNNNNNNNNNNNNNNNNNNNNNNNNNNNNNNNNNNNNNNNNNNNNNNNNNNNNNNNNNNNNNNNUGAGGGGAGCGGCCCCGGCUCGGCCCGGCCGGGCUCGGCUCGGUUCCCCCCGCCCCCCUCGGUCUCCGGGGUGCGGAGGUGGCCGCCUCGCUCCCCCCCCCGGAGCCUGCCCCGCAGCGGGAGAGCGGCCCGGGGGGGGCCCUGCCGCCCCCUGCCCUCCCCUCAGGCCCGGCCGUGCUGUGCGCUGCCGCCUGCCAGGGCUGAGGUGCUGCUCUCAGGCACCUCCCGAGCCAAACGUGGAGCUCGAUUUACGCUUUUUUUCGCUGUUUUCCACUUCUGGGCAGCCUCUCGUGAGGCGCUGGGGGGUCCCUGUGGGGAGCAGGGAGGUGGCGGGGCUGGGUUGGCCAUUUACGACCUUCUCAAUUCGUCUGUCCGAGUUUCCUUUCUGUCGGAGGUGGCUGUUAGCCGCCCAGCCUCGUAAACAGAACUCUUCGGUUCUCAGAGCAACGUGCUUGGUGACCUUAGGACGGCUUCUGGAGCUGGUGCUGGAAGCAGCACGCUUCCACAAAAGCAGCUUUUGUGGCACUCUGGCAGAGCAGCAGGCAGAGACCCGCAGGUUUGAAUGUAACUUCCAGCAAUUGCGUCCAGCACUUCUCAGCAAGACUCCGAAGUUGUAUGCUGCUGGAGUUCUUCUUCCGUGCGUCAGGACCCACACACAAGGAUCAGGGAAACAGAACCGUGCGCUUGACUUAAAUGAGAAGCAGCUACCAGGCUCUGCUUGCUCCUUUGUGCCUAAACGUCUGUGAUCCAAUCUGGCUGUCCAGGAGCAGCCCCAGACGCGGUGUUCUGACUGCUUACACUGCAGCUGACAGGAAUCAGGAUUCAUAUGGUACUCUGUGCCUGUUCAGAAACAAAGGCAAGCACAAAUUUAAACCAACUUAAACGCAUGUUUGAUCUAGCACAGAAUGUCUUUGAAGUGUCUACAGUCAAGAAACAGUCCUGUGGGGAUGCAAAUACACAUCUGCAAGUGGUCAAGCCCGAUUUGGGGAAGUUAAACUGUGGUGUCCAUACUAGCAACCCCAUCCUUGCUACGUGGGAAGACAUUGAUACAGGUUGAGGGAUUGAGAGCACGCUGGUUUCUCAGCAGGAAGUUCUUGCAUCAUUAUCAUAACCCUGUUUCUCUCUGUCUUGAAAAUUCCAGUGUAACCUACUAAAUAGGUAUAUAUGUCCCCACUUCCUUUUCUUCUAUUUUCUUUAAGAAACACGGUAUCCUCGGUGCUGGAGUCUUUAAAAAGCUCUAGCUAUUGCACCUCUGGGUGCCUCUGGCCCAACGUCCCCCAGCAGGGCCACCCCCAGCUGGUGCCCAGCCCACGUCCAGGUGCCCCCAGCACCUCUCAGCGCAGCCUGUGCCAGGGCUGCGGCCUCGCAGGCACAGAACUGCUUCUGGGGCCCAGGGGGAGCCUCCAGGGCUCCAGUUUUUGCCCAGGGCCCCUUGUUCUGGCCCUGGGCAGCACUGCCAAGAGCCUGACCUCACCACAUCCCCCCUGGGGUAUUUAUGAACAUUCAUAAGAUCCCCGUGAGCUUUCUGUAGUUUUUUUUUUUGUUUUGAUCCAGCUUUUUUCCAAUAUCCAGACAAACUUGUGGUACUUGACGUUUACAUAAAGCAAGCCUACGAUAGGAAGACACUCCACUGCACAUGUGCCUUUGUCGUGGGAGAAUGUAAGAACGCUUUGACAGGUGUUAAUCACUUCUGUUAAUUCACUGUUUGGAGGAAACACAAAGCUGAUAAUUCACACCAGGUUUUGAGCAAGUUUAAUAAUAGACUGCUGGCACUGUGUUACUGUUGCUGCUACCUGAGGAACAGGGCUUUAGGGAAAUGCGAUGUCAUGAAUUCAAGUAAAAUUUGAUCUUUUCCUGUGCCGUGGAAGUUGAAGCAAUCACUGUUCUGUGGUGUGUUUGGCUGCAUGCGAGCAGGGAAAUGCUUCAGUUGCUCUACUACAGGUGGGAAGCAGUGAGCUUGUGGCGGUGAAUUCUCCAAGUCCACGCGCACACACGCACACAUUUGUUCAGUCUGAAGGGAGCAGGACGUGGUUGUGUGUGCAGAGAAGUCGGGGGAGUGCCACGCUGCCCAGGCUGUGCCAUGAACUGAAG
This 2526-nucleotide long non-coding RNA is filed under the name Anas zonorhyncha (Eastern spot-billed duck). RNAcentral describes it as "lncRNA (ENSAZOG00000004226.1)". Lineage: Eukaryota; Metazoa; Chordata; Aves; Anseriformes; Anatidae. The record is from RNAcentral.